RNAcentral lists this ribosomal RNA (440 nucleotides) under uncultured bacterium. Its description in RNAcentral is "partial 16S ribosomal RNA". It matches the Rfam family "Bacterial small subunit ribosomal RNA", at positions 338 to 795 of the family's 1533-position model. The record is from RNAcentral.
CCUACGGGUGGCAGCAGUGGGGAAUAUUGCACAAUGGGGGAAACCCUGAUGCAGCGACGCCGCGUGAAGGAAGAAGUAUUUCGGUAUGUAAACUUCUAUCAGCAGGGAAGAAAAUGUCGGUACCUGACUAAGAAGCCCCGGCUAACUAAGUGCCAGCAGCCGCGGUAAUACGUAGGGGGCAAGCGGUAUCCGGAUGUACUGGGUGUAACGGGAGCGUAGACGGUUCAGCAAGUCAGAAGUGAAAGCCCGGGGCUCAACUGCGGGACUGCUUUUGAAACUGUUGAACUAGAGUGCAGGAGAGGUAAGGGGAAUUCCUAGUGUAGCGGUGAAAUGCGUAGAUAUUAGGAGGAACACCAGUGGCGAAGGCGGCUUACUGGACUGUAAAUGACGCUGAGGCUCGAAAGCGUGGGGAGCAAACAGGAUUAGAUACCCGGGUAGUC